GCCAUGGCUCAGUGGUAGAGCAUCUGGUUGGCAUGUAGAACUUCCCAGUUCAAUCUCUGGUAUCUCCA
This 68-nucleotide transfer RNA is filed under the name Sphaerodactylus townsendi. RNAcentral describes it as "tRNA-Ala". Lineage: Eukaryota; Metazoa; Chordata; Lepidosauria; Squamata; Sphaerodactylidae. The record is from RNAcentral.